RNAcentral lists this small RNA (424 nucleotides) under Pongo abelii (Sumatran orangutan). RNAcentral describes it as "processed transcript". Lineage: Eukaryota; Metazoa; Chordata; Mammalia; Primates; Hominidae. The record is from RNAcentral.
GCCGAGUUCCCCGCCCUGGCGCACUGGCCUUGGCUGGCGAGAGGGGGCCGGAGGGGCUGCCGGCGGAGCAGCCCCCUCCCCCACACACCAUGAGCAUUUAUGACACUAACAGAGAACAGGACUAUGUCAAGAAUUCUGAGGGUAUCCUUGGUGAAAAUAAAUUAAGACCACCCUCCCAGCUACAUUGUGUCUUAGAGAAGAUCGAGACAGGGUCCCUAUCAGAAAAGAUUUUUGAGACAGUGUCCUUGAGUUCAGACUCUCUCUUCCAGAGGGCAGUUUCACUCCUUCAUACUUCUUACUUGGACUCUUCAUCUGAGCAUGGUUUUCAGUACAGUCAAGUGACUUUGGUGAAAAAUGACAUUUUCUUAAAUGAGUACAAAGAUUUUUACCAACAAAAAAAAACAAGUAACUAUACUCAGGAAGA